CAUCUACAAUUUAGGACAGACUAACUAGUCUGGUGGUUUUACCCUUAGGUCCCUCUGUGCCCCCACUGCCCCUUCUAAGGCAAAGAUCUCUUCUACGACCAUCAUCAUCAGUUCCAUCCAAUUGUGGAGCACCACCUCCUACCCUUCCUCCUCCAGUCCCUCCACACACUGCUCCCCUAAUACAAGCUUAUGGAAUGAACACAGGAAAGUCGACACUGCUGAGUCAAGUCAAAGAAGGGACCCAGCUAAAGGUGGCGCAAGAAAACUUGCCAGUAUCCAACACCAGAAGUCCGUCUAAUGAUUACGCAUAUCAAUCUGGUCCUACGCUACUUGAGGCCAAGGGAGACAUUAAAAGCCCACAGAUCAAUGACUCUCAGGUGAACAACACUGUUUACUCUACCUCCCCUAAGAGGGAGACAGAGGGCAGCAGAAGGCAGUGGCAGGGUGGCACAACAAGCAACGUCCGGCUCCCUGGCAAUGUAGAAUUGGGAGCUCGAAACCCAGGCUUUGAUCAAAUUAACCGGGAGCUGAAGAACCGGUUUGAUAUGACCAGCACCUCUGAGGCUCAUCUGAAAGAGAACGAGACCUCUAAGCCCAUCUCUGACUUCAAACAGAAGAAAGUAGUAGAAGCAGUGAAGGAGGAACUACAGAGACAAGAUCCUACGCUACUGAAGGCCACGGGCAACAUUAAAAGCCCACAGAUCAAUGACUCUCAGGUGAACAACACUGUUUACUCUACCUCCCCUAAAAGGGAGACAGAGGGCAGCAGAAGGCAGUGUCAGGGUGGCACAACAAGCAACGUCCGGUUCCCAGGCAAUGUAGAAUUGGGAGCUCGAAACCCAGGCUUUGAUCAAAUUAACCGGGAGCUGAAGAACCGCUUUGGUAUAAACAGCACCUCUGAGGCUCAUCUGAAAGAGAACGAGACCUCUAAGCCCAUCUCUGACUUCAAACAGAAGAAACUAGUAGAAGCAGUGAAGGAGGAACUACAGAGACAAGGUCCCUCUGUGCCCCCACUGCCCCUUCUAAGGCAAAGAUCUCUUCUACGACCAUCAUCAUCAUCAGUUCCAUCCAAAUGUGGAGCACCACCUGCUCACCUUCCUCCUCCAGUCCCUCCACACACUGCUCCCCUAAUACAAGCUUAUGGAAUGAACACAGGAAAGUCGACACUGCUGAGUCAAGUCAGAGAAGGGACCCAGCUAAAGGUGGCGCAAGAAAACUUGCCAGUAUCCAACACCAGAAGUCGUCUAUCUAAUAAUUACGCAUAUCAAUCUGGUUGGUUUGUUAUAGUAAUAAUAGUGUUUUUCAUUUAUUUUUUAUUGUAUCUUUUACCUAUUUCUGCUGGAAAAUGAGGUGUCACUAUGGGUUUUUAUGUGUUAAAGGGGCUGGCUUUUAACCUCUGUAUAAUCAUAGCACAAUUAGUCAAUAUUUACUCAGCCAAAAGAUGGUUUCAAAGAAGUGAUGCAGGACAAAGUAAUAACAAUUUUAAUGCAGUCAGAUGAGAUUAUGAGUUGACUAGUGUGGAUGUCUAAUGUUUUUUCACCACUAUAGCACCUACAACAGCAAAAAAAGUGAUCGCCAAAUAAUGGUUAUUUUAGUUUAUAUAAGUAUAAGUAUUUUAGAGUUAUAUAAUAUAUAAUUAUAAUUAUUAUAAUUAUAUAAUGGUUAUAUUAUAUAACCAGCCAUGUGGCGUGCACGGUGGAGCAGUGGGUAGCACUGUCGCCUCACAGUAAGAAGGGCCUGAGUUUGAGAUGUCAUUUUACGCAUUAAAAAAAAAAAAACACCAACCCCGGAUUUACAGCCCUGUCUGCCAGUGAAAGUUGCCCAAUGCGUUUUAUGACCUUGUAGCGAAUUCAAUUUAAUAAUUUAACAUUAAUGCAGAAACAUUAAUAUUCCUCAAAAUAGGGGCACGAGGUUGGUUUUAAAGCUGAAACCUCGCUAGACAAACACCAGAUGUCAAUUUAGUGAGUUAAUACUUAUGAUUAAUAGUAAUCACAAUUUCUUUGAUAAAACCAAAUCAGUCUCUAAUGUCAUGAGUUCUUGUCAAAGUGUCAGUGGCAUUUGUUGUUGUCUGAAGAAGGACAAACACAAAACCAGAUUUUAACGUUUUAUUAUGCUAAUACUAUGGAAUAUAUGAAUAAAAGGAUAAUUGUUGCUUGUUGUUGUUGCUGU
Molecule: long non-coding RNA, 2169 nt
Organism: Betta splendens (Siamese fighting fish)
Lineage: Eukaryota; Metazoa; Chordata; Actinopteri; Anabantiformes; Osphronemidae
Source: Ensembl